AGAGGGGCUGAGGCGGUGCCCGGCUGUGGUCCAGGCGGGCUCCGCCGGCUGGCAGGAGGGCGGCUGCGCUCCCCUCCGAGCUCCUGUUUCGCCUCAUCCGCCCCCCACUUCUUCCCCAUUUCUUCAUCGUUCCUUAUUCCCAGAAAUCACUCUGGAGCGUAAAUCAUCCCAAGUUCUCCCGCCCGGUUAGCGGCCUCCAGCACCGCGGCAGAGGUCGGUGCCGUUUGUCCCGAAAAGUGCCGUUUCUGAGCGGGGAAGUCCCUCGUCCACACGGUUUAAGGCCGGGAUCUCCGUGCCUCUCCACAUGCCUCCUAAGCUGUCCAGCGUCUCCCUAAGCAUCUGCUGCGGAUUCCUGCAAAGACUUAGAGAAACCCCGGGUGCCAUCAGUGCGCUCAUUCCUACAGCUCCAUCGGCCGGGAGCAAGAAGUUUUAGGCAAAGUCUGUCAGAGAUUAAGAAACGCUCGGAUUUAGUUAAAUUUCUGCAGCCGAAGUGUACCAUGACAGCCCUGAGGAGCCCUGGUGACCAGUUACCUCCUCAGCACUGCAUCCAAGCUAUGUGGGAAUCAUGACGAGAACUUUAAUCUGGUUACAGGAAAAGCUUAAAAUAGGACUCGGCCUCACCCACAUCACAGAUCACAGCCACACUUUGAAGAGUCUUGAUUUGGCCUUAGUCCUUUGGGUAGCUAACCUUGAUCUGGCCUUAGUCCUUUGGGUAGCUAACCUUCCUCUGCAAAAGCUCAUUGCCCACAGCCCUUGUGCUCUGCCUUCUCUCUGCCACUGCAUUCUUGAAUCUUCUUUUUCCUUACAGCUUUCCUCAGCAGCUGAUGUAUUUUAUCUGCCAGAGCGAGGUUUCCUUUCAAAAACCAGAACACCCUGUGGAGCCUUAGGCAGCCCAGGUGUAUUCUCAUCAGCUUCCAUUAAGACCUCAGCAGAAAGCCUUUUUUUCCCCCACAGGACUCCCUGAUGUUCUACUUCUUGUAAACCUCACACUUAGAGAGCAAGUUUGGCAUCAAAGUUAGUGAGAUCUUGCUGUUUACUCAGGAAGCAAGUGGCGUCAGAACCGCAAUAGUGUGUCUCUUCCAUCUUCCUUCCCACGUGUGCCUGUUGCAGGGGACCAGGAGAAAGGGAUGAUGCUGUGUCUCUUGGACUUUUUCUUGGAUCUGUGUCUCCAGGACAGUCAUUCCUAAGCUGCAGAUGCACCAGAACUAGACAGAAACCUCUCAUUCAAGCAGGAAUUGUUUAGCCAUCAGACAGCAACAAUUUGAACACUAUUAACUGGGGCUGGAUCCAAAGCAAACCAGAACCCUGCAUUCUGCCAUCAUCCUUGUCAACCAUCCCCUCCUAUUUGUUGACAAAUCCCAGAGAAGUGCUUUGUGAAAACUCUCUCUGUACAAUGGGCAUAUGGCCUUAGAGAUCAGACACUUGUAAAAGCUGUGAAGAUGAUCUUUAUUCUCACGGGAUGUGUUCUCUCAGGUUUCCUAUGGGAGAUGAGUUAAACUUUAACGAUUCUCCCAAGCUGCACGUUCUGUAUUCUGGAGAGCAGGGAGGCUGAGCUCUUGGCAUCAGUGCUGUUUGACAGUGUACAGAGAAUGUUUGGGUUGAUUUGCUGAAUAUCAUGGGUGUUUUACCUGGGGUGUGCUGCUCUGUCAUUUUUAAUAUCACGUAGCACCAGCUAUAUAAGGUGGUGCAAGCACUGGAGGGACUGCAGCCACAAGAAUUGUUUCGAGCACUGGAUGGACUGUGCCCACAAGAAUUUUCUUCCUAUGUGCAUUAUCACAUUUCUGAGCAGCCAUAAGCUGUGCUGGCUUGGUACUCAUUGUCUAAUGGAUUACAUUUACCCAUAGCAAGAACUCCAGGUUCAGACUCUUACUCUCAGUGCCAGCAGCAACUUGGAUGGAGAAAAAAAGAUCAGUACUCAGCAAGAAACACCUCAGGUGACCCCUAAGCAGUCUGAGAGCAGGUGCUACAGCAUCCCUCAGUUGGACUUCGCUCUGCCAGGGAAAGGGCUCUGUAAGGGCAGAAGGGCAGGGUGCUCAAACAGCUGAAUGAUCUCAUUACCAAACCCAUCCAGAACAAAAUACUGCAGCACCUCUUCUCCCUCCUCCUUGCGAUGACAUAACUUACUCCUUCCACAGAAUAAAGAUGGGACCAUAUAA
Molecule: long non-coding RNA, 2156 nt
Organism: Pogoniulus pusillus (Red-fronted tinkerbird)
Lineage: Eukaryota; Metazoa; Chordata; Aves; Piciformes; Lybiidae
Exons: 2
Source: RefSeq, a predicted model, not a curated record